This 57-nucleotide transfer RNA is filed under the name Capra hircus (goat). It matches the Rfam family "tRNA", at positions 8 to 63 of the family's 71-position model. From Rfam's summary of the family: Transfer RNA (tRNA) molecules are approximately 80 nucleotides in length. Their secondary structure includes four short double-helical elements and three loops (D, anti-codon, and T loops). The record is from Rfam by way of RNAcentral. Lineage: Eukaryota; Metazoa; Chordata; Mammalia; Artiodactyla; Bovidae. RNAcentral also lists the same sequence under 2 other names.
UGGCUCAGAGGUUAAAGCGUCUGCCUCCAAUGCAGGAGACCCAGGUUUGAUCCCUGG